UAAAAUAUGGAUCUGGAUAACCUAUCCUGGUCUCUGACGUCAGGACGUAAUGGCUCACGUAGUAAAAUGUGGAGAGGUCGGUCGGUCUAAUACUAUUUUAACGUCUCCCGAGUUGAUGACGGGAUCUGGGAGCCGCGAUUCGAGGGUGAGUCGAGAUGUGGAACAACCUCACGUUACCAGCGAAGAGGAUCCGCGAUUUUAAUGAGAACAAAAAUCCCACUCCGGCACGGUAUCGCGUUGGAAAUGAGCAGAGACGUAUCUGCUUAACCCCACGCAAGACAACGUGACCCAAAACCUAGUUUGCAAUACCCGUCUCGCAGUUGCUCUCUCGACCACAGACGCGUCUGAACUGUGUUCCCGGCACCUUGCUUCGGAUUCAGGGGGGGGGCAGGAAUUCUUCAGUUUUUUACCAUGUUUCGCUCUAUUCUCUCUCUUUUGAUUUCCGUAUCCCCCCCCCCACACACACACCCCACCCCCACUGCGCUUGAGGCUUGAGCCGCAUUACUGUAAAGGCAAACCGACAGCUCCGCUCGGUGAUCUGCUGGUGCCCCGUGUCUCCAUCGCUCCGGAGAGGAGUUCGCGCGAGUGCCACUCGCGUCGGGAGGGAUGCAGAGGUUUGGGAAGAGUCUCGCCCCUUCUCCGUCCUCGCGACGGCGCUGCACCGGGGCACGGACGGUCCCCAGCGCGAGUCCCCCGGAGCGGGUGCGCCGCGCCUGCAGAAACACCGGCGUUUCGCGCAACGCAGAGCUGUAAAAGUUCAGGCGAGGACCGGAGGAGGAGAGGAGAUCCAGCUGCCCAUUGACUGUUAUUUUGCGAAAAUAUAUAUUUUUUUUUUUUUAAAAAAGCGGCGAGCCGAGCAGGAGGGGGAAGGAAAGUUUGGAUGUGUUUUCUGAAAUAAAACAAAAAGAAAAUCUUUAAAAAUCCGGGAGAGGGCUGUUCGGGGGGAAGGGGUUUUUACCGUAACUGGCAAUGUGUGUUAAGCAAAGAUACAAGACUCUAUAGGUGAAAGCGUUCAUAUUUGCGUGUUGAAUGAUUUUUUUUUUGCAAAUGGGGGCUGGUCCCGAAUGCGUUUUUUUUUCCCGUCUUGCGAGAAAUAAUAGGUUUCAACCCCCCCCUGCCUCUCACCCACCCCCUCUUUUUAACCUUGUUUAUGCCGUCCAAAACGCCUGGAAAAAAAAAAGAGAUACAAGGCGUAACUAAAAAAAAAAAGAUCACGCAGAGUUGGAACAAUAGACACCAAUUCACAAUGGACAAUGAAUUGGAGAGCCGAAACUGUUUGGGUUUCUGCGCACGUUUGCUACAGCCUGGCCAGCGAGAGGAGUAACAACGGACUUCCAUAGACUCCGGUCUCCGGGUCUGUGAGAAAAUUCGGGCUGGUGGGGACGCGAACGGCACCGCGGCGAAACGGUCGUGGCUCGUCAACUUUAUCUCGACUCAGCUCACGCGGGCUCAAGUGAUCGCGGCGUUUGAGUGAAAUGCCCUGGGCGGCGUGGAACCGAAGAACUCGGCUUCUUUCAAAGUAGUGCCUCUCCGAAAGAGAAGGUCCGCUUUUUGGUUUUGUUUCCCCCCUCCCCGCUUUUUACCGGCUUCCUCGUCUCUGAUUCACUUUCGGUUUGUUUUACAGGUCUCGGUUCUUUGUCGUAUUUUUAUAAAUCGUUUUCGCUAUUUUUUUUUUUUAAACCUUGUUGCCGAAGCAGGACUCCGGGUGCCUUACCAUUCUGGAUUAUCUCAAAAAGGCCUCGCCGUGGGGCGCGUGUGAGCAGGCUGGACCUUCCUGCGGGCGUCACGGCGGCGGGCGCAGGGCAGAGUGCCGAACCAGCGGUCUCCCAGCCAAGCACUGUGCUGCCUCAGCCAGGCUAUAGAGCACCUGCUGGGGUCCCUGUACCCUGGACACUUCUCUGCCACGGCGCAGUGAGGAGGAGGAGGACGAAGCCAAGCUUCAGAGCUUCAGAUGAACUCGGGAGCAGCGCACAGCUGUUUGUUGCCACAGGCGCCCUCUCCAUCUCCCCGUCUCUGUGAGGAUCCGGGGCCAGCCAGGAAGCGGCGGAGUGGGCAGCCGAGGCAGGCUACCGUACCCACUGGCGUCCCGCCUCUACAAGCAGGCAGCAACCGCGGGAGAAAUCAAUACGGAGGAGGGCGGCUGGGGGUCGCUCCACACAGCCCCUGGGCAGAGAGCCCAGGGAGUCCUCUGCACAUCUCCCUGGCUCUCGGAGUGCUUGGGCUGGAGCCGUGGCAGCUGCAUCAGGCGGGGGCUCAACCCUGAACCGCUGUGCGCGUGUGUCUGCGUUGAUAUAUGUGUGUGUGUGUGGUUUUGCCGAAGGGCCUUUACUCUCCAAGACCACUUGCUAAAAGUUUGCCAGAAACAAAGAAGAAAACCAAAGGUCUUUUUUUUUUUUUUUCCUUAUCACAUCUUCUGUGCUCUCCUUGGACUGAAUCAUCCAGAAUUCAUUGGAGAGGCUUCUGUAAUGCAGCACUGAAGUAACAGUGUUUUUGCUUCAGUGAUACGCUGAGCCUGACCUGUAACUGAAGAACGUGCCUGAAGACUCUCUGGAACGUUGUCUUCCACUGUUUUUCACCCCCCAGACAUUCACCUAAUUCUCCCUAAAAGGCUUCUGUGUACCUCGGAGGCCUAAAAGCCAUGUGCCUGAAAAGAAACAGGGAUUUUCCAAAUGGAAAUGCAGGCAUUAACAAGUUUCUGAAUAAGGCAGGGAAACAUCCAUAUGCAGUAUGUCUGAUGGGGGUUUUAUUCCCCAAUUUUUUCAAGAGCAAUAUGUGUAAAAUUCACAGGAUGUGGCAUUUCCAGAGCAGUGAGGCGCAAAGCAGAGAAUGUUCGUCUCUAGGCCCUGAUGUACUCCUGUGCUCCACCCUUCCAGCUCUGGAACAUUAGUGGAGACAUGGCAUCUCCCGAAAAUCGCAUGGAUCCUGCAGAGUUUAACAGUAAGCAUUGAUAUUCACACUUCCUGGCUUCUGUAAAAGUACGCAGAGACUCAUUGCACUUUGGAAUCUGAUCUGGCCCUGUCACUUGAGACUACUCAGAAUAAACGAGGUGCCAAUGCACAUCACUUCCAGCUUUCCUAAACUUCCCAGGUCUCUGUUAACUCCAGGAUGUCACAGGCUGAAGUCUGGGGGAAGUCAGUUUGCUGCUGUGUAGUCAGUCUCAGCAGGAGCAAGUGCAGUCAGUGCCAAAAAGCUCAGGAGAAGUAAAAACUGUGCUUGAACUGUGCAUCUUGCUCCAAAAAGACUCAAAAAACUCAUCUGACUGGUGCAGGCACAGCAUGGACCUUUCCUUUCUUUUCCUUAUGAGAUCUGUGGUCCCUUGAGCCACCUUCAUCUCAAGACUUUACAGACAGUGCAGGAAAAAAAUCCAAGUGUGGAAGGAAAUUCACGGUCCAUCAAAACUUAAUCUAAACCAAUCAAACUUCAGGACGGGUGGAGUGCAGGUCUGGGCUCCAUGAUCCAGUAUUGGUCUCUGUAGGCCACCUGGGAAAAGCAUCUUGGCCAGUGUGUCCUAAGAGCGCCUGCCCCGUGACAGCAGCAGACUUCUUCCUGGAAGGGGUGGAUAGAACCCUAAUUUCAAGGCGCAGCUCACGACCGAAACACAGCGUCAAUGGUUGGUAGUUGGGUGAUGGCUCGUCCCAGCGCAGAAGUUGUCUCCGACAGCCUGAGAGAGCUCCGACUCUGUCUCACCCCUGCUUUGGGCUGAGCCACUGCUGGCCAGUGACCCCAGGCUGGCCUUUCUCUCCUGACCGUUUGCAAGGUGUGGAUCAGACAUCCUUGUCACGCCAAGGUCAAGAAGGUCCUGAAAACUGCAGGUUAGCGCACAGCUCUGGCCCUCGAAAUGCAUGUGUACAAUUAGGAGGGCCUGUCUAACGGCGGCUGAGUGUUAAAGGAGUGGACUUACACACCAAUACAGGUAAGACAGGAAACUGGAUUAUCUGCAAGCUGUCUUCCUGACGUGUCUGUACAAUUAUACUUCUUUGGCCAGAGAGAUUAGAUUUUUCUUUUUUACUUGAAAAAAGUAAAUAAUAAUUAUUUCGAUCAUGAUUGAUCAAUCACUUAUGAGUCUUGGAACUGUGCCAUUGGGGGACUAGCAGAGUUUUACCUUAAUGGGCAAGUGACCAAACUCUGUUACUAGUACAAGGAUACUGGGAAAAAGCAGUGUAACAGCAAAGUAAACCAGUCUCUCACUUGGAUAUAGUGACCUCUGACACUUUAAGGGAAUCUCCACCCAGCAUUAAGGGGCUUAGUAAUUUCAGUGCAGGAAAAGACAUAGUCUUCCCUUGUCUGUUUCUGAGGAGUCUUUUAAAUCUGGUCUCCAAGAUGCGAUAAUUGUGGGUAGUUGGGGUAGCCACAUUGCUGCUGUACUGUAAUGCUUGUCAGGACACACUCUGCUACUGGCUUCAGAAAUUAAAGGUAAGUAAUUGUUUAUUGUUAUUAUUGCCAAGUCAUACUUCAGGCCAUUGAUAGAGCUACAUCUAAGAAGAUCCAUCAAUAAAUAAAAGGGUGUUUAUUGAAUGCACCCUAUUAUAAAUGUGUCUGUAGAGGUGGGUGCCUGACUGCCUGCAUUAGCAUUUGUGUGACGUGUGCUGUCAUCUGACUCAAAAUUAAUGUAAUGCUGCAUGACCUGCAUUUUUUCCUAAAUAUUAUUUUUGCACAUUUAAAUAUGCUUGUAUUUUAUCAAUAAAAAUAAAAAAUUAAAUACAAA
Long non-coding RNA from Lepisosteus oculatus (spotted gar), 4705 nucleotides. RefSeq lists it as uncharacterized. The record is from RefSeq and is a predicted model, not a curated record. Lineage: Eukaryota; Metazoa; Chordata; Actinopteri; Semionotiformes; Lepisosteidae.